Molecule: long non-coding RNA, 1865 nt
Filed under: Daphnia pulex (common water flea)
Lineage: Eukaryota; Metazoa; Arthropoda; Branchiopoda; Diplostraca; Daphniidae
Description: uncharacterized LOC124202454, transcript variant X2
Source: RNAcentral
GUUUAUUGAAAAUCAUGUUUUAUUUCGUUUUGCUGCAGUGCACAGCAUCAUUAAUCUUAAGCAAUUAAACUAAUUUUGUUUUUCUGUUUCCAAAUAAUGAGCCCUAAAACCUUAAGUAACUUUCACCAGCUUAUGCAGAGUUGAGAUUUCUGGAAGAUAAACUUACGAUACAUUUUUCUUACUUGUAUAGGCCGAGAUCAUCGUUAUGCUCACAGCGUUUUCCAAAUAGUAUUCAUUAUUGCCCAACUGACAGCCCGAAGCAGCUCGAAGUGCUCCGUUAGACCGUUACCAAAUUAUAUUUGCGUACGACAUAGUUUUCUCUCCCCAUUCGCAUGCACUACGGAAAUGCGCUAUUAGCUCGAGAAUUGACUCUUUGAUCAGCGACGACUGACUGACGUGGCUGUUGGCUGUCAUUAUAGCAAUACUGCUCACUUGCGGGCCAUCCUUUCGUAUCUUUGAGGGAUGGGGGAGUUGAGCCUGCUCCAGCUACCCGGCAAGCAUCAUUCGACUACAUAGCCGAAUUGUAGGCCUACUACCCCAGCUGGUUAAAGUUUCAAGCCAGAUUUAAACAAAUAAAAGUUCGCCGUUCUAAUUUUUUUCCAAAUUCAACUACUGAUCUUCAGCUUUACAUCCCAAAAGUUUUGGAGGCAUGUCACUGCAGUGAUCAAGGUGGUGAAAUUCUAUUGGUGCCAAUCCCUGCGAUUUCCGUUUACCAAUAGGAGAAACACCAUAAACCACCCAUGACAGAUAGAGGCAAAGUUAAUUUCAGCAAAAGCAUCAUCAACAAAAAAGAAGUUCCAGUUAUUUUUGCUACCCAUUUAUUCUUUCAGCUAUUGCUGCUACCAUUCUAAUACUCCAGCGCAGCGAUACCGGAAUACGAACUGCAGCAUCACUUUCAACCGCACGGAACUGCUCACUGGUGUGCAGUCCUUCCGUCCCCCGGAAGCGUAGGAUAGAAGGGCGUGCUACCAGCCGGAUGCUCACCCCCCUACUGCCUCCGUCAAACGUGGAGGAAUCCUUUGGCUCCGUCAGUAGAUGGCUAAAAUCAAGUUGUCCCCCACCCCAGUCGCCAGAUGACGCGAGUGCCUUUGAAAGGACGAAAUUUUCGCCAUUUUGUUCCGAAACGCCAAGUGAGAAGGUGAUCAAAAUUCGUUACGGAAUUGCGUUGUCGAUCUACAUCUUCAGCAUUUAAAUUUAAUGGCAAUCUGGUAUAUAAUUUCCACUUGGCCAAAUAAUCAAUCACGUGGACUGGAACUGCUUUCAAUUGCCGAAAUGUCGUUCUUUGUUAGCUGUACCUGUUCGGAUGUACGUCUCAUCUCACGUACAAACACUACAGAGUUGGUGUUCAGGUUGGAGAUCCUGUUGCUCAACUGUUGCAGAAUGUGAGAACUCAACAAAUUCUGAGCUCCAUGGCUGGCAUCAUGGCCGCAGUGGUUUUGUUGCAGCCAGCUGGUGAAAGGUGUGAUCGAGUCAAGUUGAGCUGCAGCUGCUGCAUGCAGUUUAACGAGCUGGUGUUAUAUCCUGAAUGGUGAUGGUGAUAUAUCCUUAAGUGUCAUUUCAGGAAGACUUUUUGAAAUGGACUUGGUGAUACUUAAACUAUGCCUGUGCUGAUCAACGUGCAGUGGUUUUGCAGCCUGUUUCCAGUUGAGAGAUGUGAUUGUGCAGCUGAUACAGGAUUGAAGAAAAAGAACUGAAGUAGCUGGUGUUGUCCUGAAAUUGCUGUGCCACAAGAGUUGCAGAUAGUGUUUGGUUCCUCAUAGAAGUCGAUAGAAGUUUAUUUAAAGAGUCUGGAGAUGAUCAGCCACUUCUGCCUUUAACUUAUGUAAAACUUCAAAGUUGUAAGAAAUAUACGUUAAGAAAUAUAA